UACGAAGGGGGCUAGCGUUGCUCGGAAUUACUGGGCGUAAAGGGCGCGUAGGCGGCACUGUUAGUCAGGCGUGAAAGUCCUGGGCUCAACCUGGGAACUGCGUCUGAUACUGGAGGGCUUGAGUAUGGGAGAGGGAUGUAGAAUUCCAGGUGUAGCGGUGAAAUGCGUAGAUAUCUGGAGGAAUACCGGUGGCGAAGGCGGCAUCCUGGACCAUUACUGACGCUGAGGCGCGAAAGCUAGGGGAGCAAACGGG
Molecule: ribosomal RNA, 253 nt
Filed under: uncultured bacterium
Lineage: Bacteria
Description: partial 16S ribosomal RNA
Rfam family: Bacterial small subunit ribosomal RNA
Source: RNAcentral